Molecule: ribosomal RNA, 119 nt
Filed under: Pteropus alecto (black flying fox)
Lineage: Eukaryota; Metazoa; Chordata; Mammalia; Chiroptera; Pteropodidae
Source: RNAcentral
GUCUAUAGUCAUGCCACCCUGAACAAGCCCGUUCCCGUCUGAUCUCAGAAGCUAAGCAGGGUCUGGCCUGGUUAGUACUUGGAUGGGAGACCACCUAGGAAAAGCAGGUGCUGUAGGCG